GAUGAAGAACGUAGCGAAAUGCGAUAAGUAAUGUGAAUUGCAGAAUUCAGUGAAUCAUCGAAUCUUUGAACGCACAUUGCGCCCGCUAGUAUUCUGGCGGGCAUGCCUGUCCGAGCGUCAUUACAACCCUCAGGCCCCCGGGCCUGGCGUUGGGGAUCGGCGGAAGCCCCCUGUGGGCACACGCCGUCCCUCAAAUACAGUGGCGGUCCCGCCGCAGCUUCCAUUGCGUAGUAGCUAACACCUCGCAACUGGAGAGCGGCGCGGCCAUGCCGUAAAACACCCAACUUCUGAAUGUUGACCUCGAAUCAGGUAGGAAUACCCGCUGAACUUAAGCAUAUCAAUAAGCGGAGGA
Molecule: unclassified non-coding RNA, 352 nt
Filed under: soil metagenome
Description: partial contains 5.8S ribosomal RNA, internal transcribed spacer 2, and large subunit ribosomal RNA
Rfam family: 5.8S ribosomal RNA (bases 1-120)
Source: RNAcentral